This 354-nucleotide unclassified non-coding RNA is filed under the name Zea mays. Its description in RNAcentral is "misc RNA Zm00001eb151020". The record is from RNAcentral. Lineage: Eukaryota; Viridiplantae; Streptophyta; Magnoliopsida; Poales; Poaceae.
CUCCGCCAGCACCUCCUCCACCUGCCGCCGGCUGGCCUUCUCAAGCAGCUCCUGCAGCUGCCGCCGAGUCACCCGGAUCUUGACCUCCACCUUGUCCUCGACGGCUGCGGGCGCCGCCUUGGCCUUGCUGCAGGGCUCCGCCUCCUCCUCCCACUCGUCGCCGUCCGCCCACGUCGCCGCGCGCCGCAGCCUGAGGCAGUUCCCCAUGCGCGCUCGCGGUCGACGACAAGUAUACGCUGCGCUGUGCGUGCCUUGGCGCGCGCGGACGGACGGACGGACGGACCUCUUGGCAAUCAGGCUCUGGGUUCUGGAUCAGUGCUCGUUGUUGGUCGGCUAUCGUCGCCGUGAUCUCCG